This 251-nucleotide ribosomal RNA is filed under the name uncultured prokaryote. RNAcentral describes it as "partial 16S rRNA". It matches the Rfam family "Bacterial small subunit ribosomal RNA", at positions 525 to 775 of the family's 1533-position model. The record is from RNAcentral.
ACGGGGGGUGCGAGCGUUGUUCGGAAUUAUUGGGCGUAAAGAGCGCGUAGGCGGCUGAAUAAGUCAGAUGUGAAAUCCCUGGGCUUAACCCAGGACGUGCAUUUGAAACUGGUCAGCUAGAGUACGGGAGAGGAAAGUGGAAUUCCUGGUGUAGCGGUGAAAUGCGUAGAUAUCAGGAGGAACACCGGUGGCGAAGGCGGCUUUCUGGCCCGAUACUGACGCUGAUGCGCGAGAGCGUGGGUAGCAAACAG